GCACUUUGGGAGGCUGAGGCAGGCAGAAGACAAGUUCAAGAGUUCGAGACCAGCCUGGCCAACAUGGUGAAACCCCAUCUCUACUAAGAACACAAAAAUUAGCCGGGCGUCGUGGUGUGUGCCUGUAAUCCCAGCUACUCAGGAGGCUGAGGCAGGAGAAUCGCUUGAACCCGGUAGGCAGAGGUUGCAGUGAGCUGAGAUCGUGCCACUGCACUCCAGCCUGGGUGACAGAGCAAGACUUCAUCUAGAGAAAAACAACAACAACAACAAGAAAAAACUUGAUCUUGAUAAUUAGCAAGUGUUGAUUAGCCUUGCCAAGACUGCAAAUUCCCCAACAGACACAGCUCAUGGAGAAGGCUUUAAAGUUAUGCACCAUUAAUUCAGAAUUCAUGUAUCAAUGGAAUUUUCCAACGAUGAAGACCUGCUGGGUUUUCAGUUUGGAACCAUCAUUUAAGGAAACAGACUGUCUCUGUCGUUUAGAAGACUAAAAUCUAAAUGCAAAAAUAAGA
This 509-nucleotide long non-coding RNA is filed under the name Pan troglodytes (chimpanzee). Its description in RNAcentral is "long non-coding RNA NONPTRT007783". The record is from RNAcentral. Lineage: Eukaryota; Metazoa; Chordata; Mammalia; Primates; Hominidae.